CCCCUUAAGGGAGUGACGGGCGAUUUGUGCAUGAUUAAUUUACAUUUCAAUCUUUAAUUAUUUUAAAGUUUUGUUUUCAAGUCCUUUCUCUAUUUUAUUCUUUUAUUUUUGAUCUUUUUCUUAGGUAUCCCAAGUACCCUAUCUUAUUAUCUUUGUCUUGAUUUGUCUUUCUAUUUAUUUAUUUACAAAUCAUGAUUUUUUUCUUGAUCUAAAGACAAUGAUAUAAAGAAUUAAAAUUAUAGUCUUUUUUUAUCGUGGGCUAUCUAUUAAGACUCAGGAUCCCCUGUUAGUAUUAAUCACCGCCAUUUUCCUUAGGUUUCUUUUCUUUAAAUACUAUCUUUUUCUUUUUUAGGG
Molecule: ribosomal RNA, 354 nt
Filed under: Tetra sp. GD87
Lineage: Eukaryota; Metazoa; Arthropoda; Arachnida; Trombidiformes; Eriophyidae
Description: partial small subunit ribosomal RNA
Source: RNAcentral